RNAcentral lists this small nuclear RNA (278 nucleotides) under Jaculus jaculus (lesser Egyptian jerboa). RNAcentral's name for it is "7SK RNA (ENSJJAG00000003180.1)". It matches the Rfam family "7SK RNA". From Rfam's summary of the family: 7SK was discovered as an abundant small nuclear RNA in the mid-70s but a possible function has only recently been suggested. Two independent studies have found that 7SK RNA binds the CDK9/cyclin T complex (known as elongation factor P-TEFb). The record is from Rfam by way of RNAcentral. Lineage: Eukaryota; Metazoa; Chordata; Mammalia; Rodentia; Dipodidae.
GCAUGUGAGGGUGAUCUGGCUGCAACAUCCGCUACCCCAUUGGCCUCCAGGAUCGAUCCAGCUGGUCUGGCUGGCGAGGUCGUGUCCCCCUCCUCCCUCACCGCUCCAUGGGUGUCCCUCUCAUGGCUGUGGGCUCUGUUGAAGGGGGCUACAUUCUGUUAUAUGAGUAGCUGUGCUUCCCUGCUAGACCCUCCAAAAGAGCUAUCAAGAAAAGAGGAAAAUGCAAUAGUGGAAAAUUCAUAUCACUGAUAUGCCAAAAACAAGUAUAGCUAUACUAU